UAAAUUGCUGUGGUAUUUUGACUAUACAAAGGUAUUGUAAUAAGAUUUUAAUUGAAUGCUAAAAGAAUGGAUUAACAGAUAAAUACUUUCUUUAAUUUAAAAAUUAAAUUUAUUAUUUUUUGUGCAGAAACAAAAAUAAAAAUUAAGGACAAGAAGACCCUAAGAAUUUUAAUUUGAUUUAAAUAAUUUAUAUUUCUUAAUCAAAUUUAAUUGGGGCGAUUGAAAAAUAUUUUUAACUUUUUUUUAAAAAAAAUAUGAACCAUUAAUAAUGGUAAUAUGAAAAAAUACUCUAGGGAUAACAGCGUAAUAAUUUUUGAUAGUUCAUAUAGACAAAAUAGUUUGCGACCUCGAUGUUGGAUUAGGAUUCUAAUUUAAUGAAGAAGUUAAAUUAAGAAGUUU
Molecule: ribosomal RNA, 399 nt
Filed under: Amblyomma javanense
Lineage: Eukaryota; Metazoa; Arthropoda; Arachnida; Ixodida; Ixodidae
Description: partial large subunit ribosomal RNA
Source: RNAcentral